UACGGAGGGGGCAAGCGUUAAUCGGAAUUACUGGGCGUAAAGCGCACGCAGGCGGUCUGUCAAGUCUGAUGUGAAAUCCCCGGGCUCAACCUGGGAACUGCAUCCGAAACUGGCAGACUAGAGUCUUGAAGAGGGGGGUAGAAUUCCAGGUGUAGCGGUGAAAUGCGUAGAGAUCUUGAGGAAUACCGGUGGCGAAGGCGGCUCUCUGGACAAAGACUGACGCUCAGGUGCGAAAGCAUGGGGAGCAAACAGG
Molecule: unclassified non-coding RNA, 253 nt
Filed under: uncultured Enterobacteriaceae bacterium
Lineage: Bacteria; Pseudomonadati; Pseudomonadota; Gammaproteobacteria; Enterobacterales; Enterobacteriaceae
Description: contains 16S-23S intergenic spacer region
Rfam family: Bacterial small subunit ribosomal RNA
Source: RNAcentral